Molecule: ribosomal RNA, 810 nt
Filed under: Triticum aestivum (bread wheat)
Lineage: Eukaryota; Viridiplantae; Streptophyta; Magnoliopsida; Poales; Poaceae
Description: partial small subunit ribosomal RNA
Source: RNAcentral
AUGAAUAUCGUCCUCCUAUCCUGCUGGCUCUGGCGCAACUCGCAAGGCCAGGGAGGCCUCUGGCUUGACAUCAUCCGGAACAAGUACCUGCGUGGUCAACCCCUUGCCUUUUGUCAGAGAUCUGGUGGCUCGCAAUUCUGGCAGUCGGUCGUCCAGCUGCUCCCUGUCCUUCGCAUCGGGACAUCCAUCUCGGUGGGGUCUGGAUCGGCGAUGUUGUUCUGGUUUGACAGAUGGGCUGGAGACUUCCCCUUCGCCGCGCGCUUCCCCGACCUCUUCUCCAUCGCAGUAGAACCCCUGAUCUUUGUCGAGAGGGCCCUUAUUGACCUAGGGCGCCUUGCUUUUCGGAGGCCCUUUGGCCCCCCGGAAUCCGCCGCUUGGCAUGAGUUACCGGACUGCGUUGCUCUUCACGAGCCUGUGGUGGACAAUGGCCCAGACCAGGUGAGAUGGCGUCUCGAACCAUCGGGCCAAUUCUCCACCAAGUCUCUGUACCAGGCCAUCGCUCCCUCCUCCGCCUCCCCUCUUUCGAUGGUGUGGUCCAUCCGCCUGCCCCUGAAAAUCCGGAUCUUCAUGUGGCAGUGGAUUCGCGGUCGACUCCCGUCUGGCGUCGAGGUGCGCAAGCGCAAUGGUCCGGGCUCCGGCCUCUGCCAGCUUUGCGGCGUCCCCAAAGACUCGAAUCACAUCUUCUUCUCCUGCGUAUCCGCGCAAUUCGUGUGGAGCUGCUUCCGUGACAUGGUGGGUGGAAAUUGGUGUCACACCAACUUCCCCGACAUGACGAGCUCCAGUCCUCCCCCUUGCGCUUCCGUGACAUGA